UAGUUGAACUUUAUUGUGCUCUAGAAAAAGCAAUAAACCCUUCUGCAAACUUCAUAAGAUAGCACAGUAAAAGGAACUCUACACCAAGAGGACAUUUUCCCUUCAAAAUAACAAAGCAGAACACAAAGUAAAUCAAAGCAUAUAAACGGAGAAAGGAAUUCCGUUGCCUUUGAAAUUGAACUCCAGAAAUAAUUUACUUAAAAAGAGUUCCUCAGAUAUAGCUUGAAGUCUAAAGACAAUCAUUGAUCAUCAACUGGUAUUCUCUUACUCCAUCAGCACUCCAGAUACAAAGCAAGAGAAAACCCAGAGUAAAAAAUUUAAAUGGACAAUAUUUCAUCUGCAACCUGGAAAGUCUUCUAUGCUUGCUGUUGUAUUGACUUUCCUACUUAUCUCAGAAAAUUGUGCAUUUAAUCAUCUCUCUCUAUUUUCUUUGACUCUUUUCCAGUGAGAGAGUAUAAGAUUGUUUACCUAAAGACCUCGAAGUCUAGCAAGAUAGGAAGCAAGUUGUUACUUAAGCAGGUUGGGGGGGCAUUAUGGGCACAAUGAAAAUUAAUCAUUGGUUCUCUUUGCCUAUCAAAAUACAUCGUUCACAUAGGACCCCUUUCCCCAAUAAAUUUAGAUCAUGCCUACUCUAGAAAAGGAAUCACAGCAUUGUCACUUCUUGAUGUUGUGAAGUAAUUUGUAAUGCGCAGAAAUGAUUUGAAUACAUGUCCCAACAGAGCUUUGUGAAGGAAACUCAAAGCUAUUCUGACAUAAUAGCAAAUGAUAGCAGAGAAGGGACUGAAGCACUGCAGCAAACCCAAAAUUGUUCCAAUAUUCAGCUGCUAGAACAAAAAAGAAAAGCCUCACUACUGAACCUUUUUCAUUUCGUAUAGCUGCUCAAAAUUUAGAAAACUCAUAGACCAUAAUCCAUUAAAACAGCAUCUAUUACAUCAAGUUCUAAUUGCUAAACUUGCUGGUAAAUCCUUGGGGUAAAGAGAUUGGAACUCUUCCAUUUUCAAUAAAGAUUAUUUGUAAAACUAAAAAAAAAUCCAUGAGACAAUCUGAUAGAUGUCUCAUUAUUCCUGAUCUGUGUUCUUUUUUAUUUCUUAGCCCUACCUCUACAACCGAUUAAAAUGCUUAGCCUAAAUACUUUCACCAUUUCAAAGAAACCACUACAAAAAGUGCUAUUUUUUGGCCGGGCGUGGUGGCUCACGCCUGUAAUCCCAGCACUUUGGGAGGCCAGGCGGGCGGAUCACGAGAUCAGGAGAUCGAGACCAUCCUAGCUAACACGGU
This 1275-nucleotide long non-coding RNA is filed under the name Homo sapiens (human). RNAcentral describes it as "long non-coding RNA NONHSAT222984.1". Lineage: Eukaryota; Metazoa; Chordata; Mammalia; Primates; Hominidae. The record is from RNAcentral.